This 74-nucleotide transfer RNA is filed under the name Thermoproteota archaeon. Its description in RNAcentral is "Crenarchaeota archaeon tRNA-Lys". It matches the Rfam family "tRNA". From Rfam's summary of the family: Transfer RNA (tRNA) molecules are approximately 80 nucleotides in length. Their secondary structure includes four short double-helical elements and three loops (D, anti-codon, and T loops). The record is from RNAcentral. Lineage: Archaea; Thermoproteati; Thermoproteota.
AGCGGGGUGGAGCAGUCUGGAAGCUCGUGAGGCUCUUAACCUCAAGGUCGCAAGUUCAAAUCUUGCCCCCGCCA